CGAGGGGCGGCCGCUGUCGGUGGAACGAGUGGGAAGUUACGCCUGGUGGCGGCUGCUCGCCGCCCCCCGCGGCGGCCUGUCGCGGCAUCCCGCGCCUCCGUCGAAAAAAAAAAAAAAAAAAAAAAAAAAAGAAAGCAAGCCACCGCGGGCUAUGGGGGAGCUGCCCGGCUGCCGCCAUCUUGAGGCGGGGAGUAUGGCGCGGGUCGAGGCGGGUCGGUUGCGGCCAUCCGGCGUGGUCUCAGCCGGCCGUCUCUGGCGAGGCGUUGGGCCGCAGUGGGGCCGAUUGCUUGGGGCCCCGUCGGUCUCCCUCCAUCCGCCUCAUCUCGGUCCCGGCCUCGAGCUGUGCGCAGCCGGUGGGGCUGGGGCGGUCGUGAGUGCAGAACAGAGCGGUUGAGUCCACCCUGCCAACAACCCCGCGCCUCUGCUGCGUUGGGAUGUGUGUUUAGGGGACAGGCGAGAUGGAGAUUGAGGCCGUUUUCUGGCCGUAUACAGUUCCAGCACAUCCAGUGGGUAGUGCAGUGUUCCUUUGUAGCCCUGAUACAUCCCCACCUGCAGCUCUUUGCUAGCUUGUGAAGUGUCUUUGCAUAGCUCCUGCAGUCUAUGGCCAGCAGUGCUUGCCUGUUAGCUAUGGAAGGCACGUAGUUAAUUGAGUUCUAUGCACCCUUCCAUGUCCCUUCAUCUUACUAUUAUCUAUACACAGCUUCACAAUUGACAUUUCUCAUACCAGUCCCUAUAACUACCUCCUAUUUGCCUCACAAACCCUACAACUACUCCAUUACAGCUGUCCCUAGAGACUGAAAUUGUCCUUAAAUACUGAACAGAAGUAUUUUCAACCCAUGAAUAGCUGUACUAUGAUUUCUGAGGCCCAGUGUAACCAUCAUAGCUCUAACAAUUGCCUAGAAAAAAUUACUGGGAAAUCUGAAAAUAUGUAAAAAUCAAACCUGAAUCAACAGAGCAUUAUGUCUACAACAGAAUAAUUUUGAAUAGUAGAAUGGUGCAGUUUUACAGAUGGAACUGGAUCUUUUUAUGGGGAAACUAGUCUGAAAUGCUAUAGCAGUAAUGACACCGUUUGGCUAUUCAACCUUUGAAUCUCUGGGUGAUUGAAGUGCUUACCUUCACUUAUCUAUGACAGUAGCCUUGUCAGUCAGAAACACUGAGAUACAACCAUAAAAAGUCUAAUAAAAAUAGAUAGUGUCAUCUUAUAUAGUUCAUUUGAAGGCAAACUGUAUUUCAGUAGACAUCUCUCACCCUAUCUAUCCAGCAAAUAAAAGUUUUUUUAUUUAGGUGGUAAUGCACUGAAAGCUUGGAGGAUUUGUGCUUUCAUUGACUUCUCAAUUUCUUGUGAGCAACAUGGAGGACUGAGGGGACACUGAGUAAUUUCAGAAAAGAAAAAAAAAAAAAAAAAAAAACAUUGCUGGAAGGAUGUGACUAAUUCCAUGGUAAUGCUUUACCAACUUUCAUCCUAUCCAUGCUGGUAAAGAAAGUUUUCGUUUCGAGGAUUUUAAUACUUGAUAUUGUAUUAUCCUUUCUCUUAUGUCAGGUUGUUGCUUGCAUGCAUAUUUGCUUUGCUAGGUGAACAGGGUGACCUGUCAGUAAGUUGAAGGAUAAAAUCUCUUGGCUGUUGGUUUGUGUUCUUAAAUCAUGGAACUUUGAACUUUUUGAUUGAAAAAUCAUAUCAAACCUAGUCAGGCCUUGGCAUAAGUGUAAUAUAUAUAUAUAUAUACACAUUUGUUGCUACCCUUGAGUUAAUGUGUUUGCAGAAUUUUUAAAUCUAUAUUAACAUCUCAGUCUCUAAAUACAUCAUCACUCGCUAUGUCAGGAGGGUCAUAGCUUCUUUUGUUACUGGGAAAUUGUUGAAUCACUUCAAUGUUUUGACCCUUUCAUCUAUGAAGUUUGUUUGCAGAGCUGUCUGCAUUACUCAACUGGGGCCUAACAGAGACUGAAGUUCUGCUUCAAAACAUUGCAAAUACAUAUAUGUAGAUUUUUCUCAAAUUUCAGAAUUUGAAUUUUUGGUCUUUAUCAAAGUACACAUCUCAUCUUAAUAUUUGAAGAAAUGUCAUUUUUCCUUAGCAACAGUUACAUAUUUCUAGAUAAUCAGUAGAAACACUAAAUCACUUCAUUUGGCUACUGUAACUAAUGAUAGUAUUAAACAACCUUUCAAAUUAAAAUAUGAAAAAAUCUUUUCAUUAGAAGUAGUGCUAAAAAACUUUGUAAUUUUUAUUUAGAGCAAGAUACACUGUAUUUCUCAAAAUAAUUUUAUGGCUUUGCACACAGACAAGUGAAAAUCAAAAUAAUUAACAUUUUUCAACAGUGAAUUAAAAUAAGAUUAGACAGACAUCCCCUGUACUUUGAAAAAUCUCACUUUUUGCUUUCAGACUGAAAACUUCAACAAUUCUACAAAUAAUUGUUUCUAUAUGAAGGAAUUUAUAGUGAAAUCUCUUAGGUAGAGAAAAAUAACAGAGAAGAUGCUACUCCUAUCAUUUUUUUUUCUGAUUAUAGCUUUUAAUGACAUCACUUUUGGAUCUUCAGCAGAAUUACAUUCCUAUCCCUCCCUUCUUCUCAGAGAAGAAUUCACUGAGAGCAGCCUUGGGAAAAAGGACUUGGAUGUCUUAGUGAAUGAAAAGCUUGGUGUGAACCAGCGGUGUGUUCUCGCAGCCCAUACCAACAGCAUCCUGGGCUAGCCAUUCCUCAUAGUACCUGUGGUGGUUUUAAACUAAAAAAGCAGAGAUUUAGAUUAGCUAACAGGAGAGAAGUUUUCACUCAGAGGAUGAUGAGGCGUUGGCACAGGCUGCUCAGAGAAGCUGUGGUUGCCCCAUCCCUGGAGAUGCUCAGGGCCAAGUUGGAUGGGGCCAUGAGCAGCCUGAUCUAGUGAGUGGCAACCUUGUCUAGGGCAGGGGUUUGGAACUAGAUGGCCUUUAAUGUUCCUUCCAACCCAAGCCAUUCUGAUUCUGUGAUUCAGGGCUUUUCUGAAAUAAAGAAUACUACAGAGCUUGGCCAUUUCUAACAAGGUCAUAAUUAAUCCAUCUGGUAUUUCAUACAACAAAGUCCAUUCUUUUUUUGUUAAAUCUGCUUCAUAUUUUUUUUACAUUUCUAAAUAGUUUUCAGAUAUAUUUUGUCAUUUGUGGCAUAUCUAAGAAGUACCACAACACAUUCCUCUCAGCCGUACUGUGCAGAACAAUUAUCCAUGUAUCUUAUGAAAUAGCAUAAAGGCAAGGCAAAAUACUAAAGUAGAUAAGAGCAUUUGAACUGUUUCAGACCAAGGAUACAUCUUCCCAGUUCAUAGAAGUGCAUGCCUAAAGAAGUGCAAGAACAAGCACAUACAUGUAUUUCACUAGGUAUCUUUGCCACUCUGUGUCUCGGGGAUUUUCUAAAACCUUCAUAAUCUGUCAUUAUUGUAAUAUUCAGAGAAUUUCUUCCAAGAAUUUGUCAAGUCUCCCAUAAAACUCCUGCACUGACACCAUGUUUUAUCAAGAAGAGCUAUGCUGUAAGAAUAAAUGCUGUAUAGUAAAUGCUGUAUGAAAAAUAAAAGCCAUUUUGCAUUCUUUGAAGUCUAGUUGUUGUCUUCUGUCUUUUUUUGUUCUAGUGAAUACUCACCAUGGGGAGAAGGUGAAGAGGAUAUGUCUAGAUGUUAUAAAGAAUUAGGCAGCUUAGUACAGAAGUAUAGGCUAUGCUGUGUGGCUGCUUGUCAUGUUUCUUUGAUUACCCGUGUAAGUAGACAAGAACAUAGUUCUACUUAAGUAAAUUAGUUGUUAUUAACUGAUAAGUAAAUACUAUUAAACGCCUAUGCUUUCUUAUAGCCAUAACAAGUCCCUCACUGACUCUUGAGCAUUUCGUCUCCCUCACGAUGCCCUCCUGAUUUGGCACUCUGGAUACCUGUAGUCCAGCUAUGUGUAAUAGAAGUUCUCUGAAUGCCUGUUAAUAUAUUGGAUUUUUAUAGGUUCAGGUGGUAUUAGCUUGGUCCAUAAUCUCAGUUUCUUGUUCAUGUGAACAGUAUUUCCUUUUUAUGCUGAUUUUUCUUCUUCUAUGGAGUCCUUGCCAUUUGCUUGGGACUAAUGUCUAUGUCGGUCUGUACCAGGUAGGUGAGGAAUGGGGACUUCUUUGUCGCUUGGGGAUCGACUGCCAGUGCAGCCUGCAUGUUUGACCCUGAGGGUGAAAGCUGUUGGCCACGCUGCCUCUCUGGCCAGAAGAAUCAGUGGGUAUAUCCACGCUGUGGUUUCUCAGCAAUUUGGACACUUCUGCGAUACUGCUCUGGAAGUCCUGGGUUCUGACAAAGAUGAGUUUGUGUCUUUUCCACUGUACCCUAGCUUCCUGUCCUCUCAUCAGCAAUUGGUGAGACCACCAGUAGCUGACUGUCAGUUUGAUAUCUUGCUAAUACUCUCUCCACACAGUUUUACAACAAAUGUGCUUUCCAGGAAUCCCUCUUUUUUUUUUCCCAUAAGGCACCCUGUUGACAAUUCUGAGUCAGAAGACAUUGACAGUACUAUCAUUUUCAGGGAUAAGGAAGGUACAAGAUGGCAAGAACUGGAGGCUCACAGUGAAAAGCAAACAUAAAACUGAUGACAGCUGGCUUUAUGUGCAUGAGAAGCACUCUGAAAAGUGUCAUACACUCUACAUUUUUAGAUCUUUUGGCUGGUACCUCUGUACUUGCUACACACUAGUGGGAGGAUUUAACAGAGGUGUAGCCCUCCAGCUGUGUUUAGGCCCUAGUAUCUGUAUUAACAAUGUAAUAUGCACAUGCUUCCAGUUUUCUUGUAUUGGAAAGGUGCAUUGAAAAGGGAAGUGAAAUUUCCGUGCACCAAAACUGCACUGUGAAAAGAAUAAAAGCACAACAAGUGGGGAUAAUAAGAGAUUUGCCUUGGCCGUGCACUGCUGGUAUGAGAGAAAAUGCUAUAGCAGUCAUACCCUUAGUUUGGAAACCUGACACAUUAAUCAGUUUUUAAUGUGUGUUACAGUUUGGUUACAUUAAGUUCCUUAUGGACCAGUAUCAAGCACAGCAGUAUCAAUAAUGAUUUUUAUAAUGACAUUAAUAUAAAUCCCCACUGCAGUUUUUUGCAUCUCUUGAGUAAUAACAGUCCAGUAAACAAGGCAGUCAUCAUUCUUCACUAUAUGGUAUAACAAAUGUGAAAUCACUGUGUAGGUGUAUGUUAGACUACAUUAUAUUGUAAACAAACAAAUACAGAUUAUUUUUUGGUUGCAAGGUGAAAUUUGAGAUUAUGCUAGCCACUGAGAAUCCACUUUUCUAUGUAAAAAUGUGGCAGUGCCAGAGCCUCCUGAUUCUAAGCAGUUUUGUACAGAUAUCAGAGAAGGCAUCCAGCUGUCUGGCUUCACGUCAGGCUUUAAAAUUUCUCCCUUAUGAGCUAAAAGGCAGAAGAGUGAGGGUUGGAUGGAAUUAUCCCCUUGUUCUGUUCUGAUUAAUUCAAUCCACUGCAGAAAGUGACGAAGGAUAAAGUAAUUAAUUGUUCACCUGGAGCUGGUUAGGAAUCGUUACUUUCUUGCACUCUGGUGUCCUGUGGGAUCAGUGUAUGUACUUAUCUUUACCACACUGUGGCUGGACUUCGUAACUACUGUGAUGACCGAAUGAGCAUUGCCCUUUCUAUGAAAACAGCAACAACAAAACCAGUUAGCUGAAGUAGAAAAUAAAUGUCAUUUUGGGAAUGCAACUCACAGCAGUCUUUGUGAAAACUCUAUUACCAUCUUCACUGUGAACACAUAAUUUUUUUACAUUUUUGGGGGACUGUCCACUCUGAAGAACAUAUGCCUAGUAGAUCUUCAUUUGUAUUCAGCAUGUGGUUAUAAAUCAAAUCACCCACUUGUUUACAAAGAUUCAUAUUUUUUUGUUGAAGCCAAAUGGGAAUACUUCUUUGCUACACUGGACUAGAGUAGACCAGUAUAGGGUCUUUUGGUCUAGCCUUUGCAAACAGCAGCCUGUGUUUGUGUUUUAAUGCUUUUAAUAUAGAUUCAAAUGCUAUCAAACAGAUAGUUUUAUGAAACAAAGCAAAACAAAAAAAAACUGUGCAGUGGGAGAUAUAGUAUAUGAUCAAGGGCAGUGUGGCCUGCCUUUGACAUAAGUAUGUUCAGUUUUGCAUGGCACUCUUUUCCCCCAUUGCAGUGAGCCUAGAGAAAAACGUAUAUUCAGCCUCUCGUGUAUUUUCAUUCCUUUCUUAAUUUGUUUGCUCAGAUCUGACAAACUCAAAACCUCUUACAUACUAAAUCUCAGAAACUGUUGCAAUUCUGUGUACUUUUGCAUUUUGGUAGUAUCUUAACAUGAGAGGUGUAUCAAAAGACUCAGGAGUGUAUGGCCCCUUCUGUGUAGGCAGAAUCUUAUUUACUGGACAUUCUGUGAAGGUCUUGAGUUCAUUUUCACUGUCAUGUGACACCUCUGAUCAGCUAGAGGCACCACUGUUUUAACAACCACAAGCAUGAAGUCUUUCUGUGCCAACAAUAUCUAAUGACCUUACACAGCAAAAGACCCCUAACAGUGUGGGAGCAUCUGAGCCAUCUCAGGUGUGCAGAGAACCCUCACCAGCCUGCUAGCAACAGUACCAUUGGUAGGACCAGCCAAGAGCAUGGGGUGACAACGUAGCGGGCCCUGGACAUACUUGGGUUAGUUAAGGCAAAGGUCAGAACUCAAGGAGAAAAGUGAAUGAACAAGAAAUGUGGCUUAGGCAGCCAUUAGAAUGAAGAGUCAAUAAGACAUUUUGGAGUUGUUCUUUGGGGUCAUCUUUUUUUAUUUUUGUUUUUGCUUGCUUACCCCAAACACUGAGUUUGCUCAAAGCAUGUGAUGCAUAAAAUGCAAGACUACCCCUACUGCAAGGGCUCCUCUAUCAAAGUAUCAUUGUGGGGUUUUUUUUACAAGUUUAUACAAUUUUACUGUGUUACAAUCUGUUAAACACCCUUCCAUAUUUGCACACUUGCACAUUUUAAUAAAAAAUGUUUUCCUCUCAUGUUUUCCUGGAAUUUAAUGCAACACUUGAUGAAGAGUAUAAAGUAGAGGUUUUUUUCAAAAAUUGAGAGAUGUAAAAAAUUUAAAUGUUACUAGUUUCUGGUGGUCACUUUUUUUUUCCUUUCUAAUGAGAGUCAUCAAAAAGAUGCCUCUGAAAUAUAAAAGUUAACUUUGGACAUUUGAGUCUUGAAGAUUUUAUGGAAAGAGUAAAGAAAAAGAAUUUAUUUUUAAAAAGAUAACUUAAAGUCCUUUCAAUUCAUUAUGCUUGGGAAUUACUUGAAAUAACUAAAUUACUCAAAUAAGGAAAUAAUGUGCUUAGAAUUAAGUUUAAACAUUUGGUUACUCAUACAAGAAUUUUUUUGAGAUGAAAAUAUACAAUAUUAAUUGUAGUCUUAUUAGAAUGUAAUUUUAUUCUUCACUUAGAAGAAAUAACUGAAAAAAAAAACUCUUUUGAACUAAUGAUUGAUGAAAAUGGUUGAAAUAAUGUUGCAGAUUAUGAACUAGUGAUUGAUGCUCAUGUUAAUAUGAUUAUGAAUAAGCUAUGUACUGUUGGUAAGAGAUUUUUUACAGUAUUAGUCACGUUUCUGUUUUCUGAAGAAGUGCAGGAUGCCUGCACUUACCAAUUCAUUAUAUCAAGCACAGACAAAUGAAAAAAUAAAUCAUAACCCUAAGUGUGAUAAUUUAGUAGAUAAUUCCCAUAAAACUUUUAUAUUACUAUAUUCAUUGAGCUGUUGUUUUCUAAACAUAAACAUAAAUUUCAGAUCCUGUUCAUUCUUGCUGAGCAUUAACUGCUAUAUGCCAGCUGAGGUAUUUUCUUAAUCUGUUGUGAAUCUUAGAAAUCCUAUUGCACUUCAGAACUUGGUCUGUGUUUCAGAAGGUAUUAAAAGCAAUAUAUGUAUAAAUUGCAGUCUUACUUUUCAACACUUCUAAGAAAACCAUGAGUUGAAUUUCUGAAUUUUGUUCAAGGUUUUAGAUGAACACAUUUUAAAAUUAUCAUGGUUAAAUGCAUGUGUCAUGAAUUAGAAUUAUUUUAAGUAACUGUAGCAUGUUUUGUCUUUUAUUUUUGGCAAGAUAUAGAGGGAACUGUAAAAUCUAGAUUGUGCAUAUUGCUCAUUGCCAGCUUCAGUGUCUCUUCAAAUACAACAUUAUCAUCCAAAGGAGAAUAAAUACUGUUUUUGAAAAUAAGAGAACAGAACCAUCAAGUGCAAAGAUUUUAUCCAGAAUCACACACUGGGCCAUUAGAAGAACAAGAAAUUUGCAUCCUCGUGUUCAGAACUAUGAUUGGAAUAUCUGACUUCUGUGUCUUGGAUGCUGCUGCUGCAUCUAGCGGUUGAGUUGUACAGCAAAGGAAGGCUUUAUGGCAGUGUGCAAAGAUUAGGCAUGGGAUGUCCCAGUAUCCUCAGCCACACAUUUUGUAUGUAAAGACUGCCACACAGAAUCCUUCUAUUAUGCCAUAUAAAAUGCCAGAUCAUGACCAAAAGAGAGGUAGACAAAGCAAAAUCAGUAAAGGAGAGAUUUAUUGGAAUGACCGAAACAGUGAAGAAAUGCAGAGAGAGCAUGGGAGUGUGGCAGAGGCCUGGGAGGCCAGGGAGGAGGAGGGCUCAAGAAGCUGUAAUUUGCAAUCUGUGUGAUAAGUCUGCACUGAUCCUGACUUCACAGAACCAGCUGAGAAGCUUCUAGGGGUCAACUAAAUGCAGUCUUUCAGCCUACUCCUGGUGUUUCCCCUGCAACAUGAUCUUCUUCCAAUUACUCCUCUGUUACAUUUUAAUAUUAUGUUUAUCAUAACAGAAAACUGUUUGGCCACAGAUGUGAAAUCAGUAAUAAAACAAUUAGCAGAGGCAUGCUUUCAUUUCCUUUACAGUAUUAAAGUGAAUGGUAGUCCCAUAUUUAAGGGUAAAGGCCAUGAUUUGAUAUUAAAAUGAAAAGAGGCAAAGUAGUUAAAUUAAGCACCAGCAGUCACCAGGGAGCCUGACCUCUGCAGUGUUAGAUGGAGAUUUGUGAGCUAACUGGCAUUAUACUCGGUGGGCUCACGUCGCAGAAGAGCAUCACAACAAAACUGUAAUCAAUCCUACUAAGACUCAGAUAUGUGUAUUUUAAAGCACUAGUGUAAUUCAGCACAGUAUUAGUAUUAUUGUGUUUCAAGUGAAAAUAAAAUCACAGCUGCAGAACUAAGCCUUCAGAUCUUUUUGAUUGUACAAAUGAUUUUUUUUUUUUUUUUUAUGAAAAUUGGAAAAAUCCUUACUUAAGACUGAUCUAAAAAAUAUUUGGCUUUCCUUCCACGUUUAAAUAAAGGAAUUUAUCUUUAAACCUUUUCUAAUGCUGUUUUUUGGCCUGAAAGCACUUUUGACUUCCCUCAGGAUUGUUUGUUUAUUUGUAGCAAAGCAAGACCUAUCCCUCCCAUGUAAAAACAUAACAUUACAUUGUAUUUUAAUUGCAGUCAGAGAAUACAUCUAGUAAGAUUACUUUCAUUUCUAGAUGUCUGUAAUUGAUUCUAGAAUUAUGCUUAAAGAAUUUAUAAUGUUCUUCAACUCUGAAUGUAUAGUAUCACCUUAUCAGAAAUGUUCAUAGCACACUGCUAACUAUUACCCAGCCUUACACAACCAUUCACAAACAGGCUAAAUAUGGAAACGAGGUUCCGUUGUGAAGCAUGAUAUAAGCAGGUAACAGUAUGGUAAUAAAUUAAGCUUCUAUAUGAAUGCAGUUAACCUUGUCAAUUAAAAUUGAAACUUAGGGAACCAUCACCCUCUGCUCAUUAUGCUCAUUCUAGCUGCUACAAAAUAUCUGUUACCAACAAAGCAGGUUGGUCUUGUGUGGAGCCAGAUGUUGGACUCCAUAAUCCUUGUGGGUUUCUUCCAAUCUGGGAUAUUCUGUAUUUCUAUGGUUAGAUUUAUCCAAAUUUUUCAGGUAUGACUGUACUAAUUUUGAUCUGCUAGUAUUUGAAAAAAUACUACUAAAAUACUAUUAAAAUACUCUGAAAAAAGGAAAGUGAAUAAAACAGAGUUUUAAGAGAAUACUGCCCUAGUUUCAGAUAUUUAUCAUUAUCAUUCUGAAUAAUUUAAUGUACAAAUUUUAAAUUGACUUUUUUCAAGACAGCAGUUCUACAAAGGACACUUAGCUAUUGAACAAUAAUGAAUAAAGAGCUCCACACAUUUCCUCAUCUGCUUUUGCAAUUGUUGAAAUAAAAACAACAAAAGAGAAAGAAAAUGUUAUUUUGUGUAGCACUGGGCCUUACAACAAAGGCUUUUGGAAUUAUUAAGUUUGAUUUCCUUAACCAAAAUCUUCCUCAUUGCUGAUCACAUUUUGCUAGAUCUCUCCUCUUGAGAUUGGUCCUAAAUAAUGGAGAAGAUACUUAACAGAUGCUUAAGUAGGGCCUGUGCCUUUGUAUUAUCAGUGUUACAGAACUGGCUGAGCCAUGUCCCCCAAAGUCACCUGCUGUCAGCUGGUGACUUGUGGUACCAGCUCCAGCAUCUCCCUGGCAGAAGAAGUGGAGAGACGUGCAGAAAAAGUUCUCUUUUUUGUCUUGACUUGCUGCCCACGUUUGGAUUAAUAGCUAUAAGGAUGUUACUGUAGGGUUCUUGAUUCAAAGGGAUACAUUUAACAAGUAGCUACACAACUUCUGAAAUAGAAGAGAAAUGCAUGCUGGCUGUGUAAACUAAAUAACCAUCUAAACAAACUGAAUGUGGUAAGUCAGUGGCCUCAUAGAGUGACUUUGAUGUGUCAUCUUGUCCUUCUGACACUUUCAGUAAUUACUAGUUGGAUUGAGGUUAAAUGUAGAACAGAAGUUUCUUGUCAAAAGUGAGCAACUCUUGGAGUGUACUCAAAAACAAAAGUAAAGGUAUGUCUCCUGGGCUGAAAGGAGCCAUCUGUGGUACAGCUACUAAUCUUUUGAUGUUUCAUGAAAUCUGUUUUGGCUGGAAACUCUGCUGAAAGAAGCUGGUGCCCCUAGUUCUGAAGGAUUCAUGAGAAGAGCCAAAACUUGUUAUGAUUAAAAGAGAUGGCAAAGAUGAUCAGAAACAGUGUUCAUUGGCUGUGACAGAGCUGUUGCUCUGUAGUGUUGUUUUUCCUUUUAAAGAGGAUAGCUUUAAGAAAAAUAAUAGCAAUGCUAUGUAGUUCUCAUUGCUUCUGAUCUCAGCUGGGCCAGGCUUUGGGUAAGUGAUGUUGUAUUGCCUGUAGGUCUUACUGUCAUGAACGGGCACCUCAUAAACCCUGUCCUGUGUGGAAUGGUGCAUGUAAGUGUUCAGCAAAACAAAUAGAAGGUGUCUUACCAUGUUUCCCAAACCUAAGCAGAUGAAUGACACUCUGAAGUUGGUAUGAUCAACCCUACACCUUUGCAGUCUUGAGCGCUGGACUAACUGCUCAGAGCUGCUUUCAAGCACCAUCUGUUGUCACAUGAUUCUGCAUGCCAGAUCCUCAUAAAAAAGUCUUUCUUGGUUUUAG
Gallus gallus (chicken) is the source of this 11380-nucleotide long non-coding RNA. The record is from Ensembl. Lineage: Eukaryota; Metazoa; Chordata; Aves; Galliformes; Phasianidae.